GGCUCAGGAUGAACGCUGGCGGCGUGCUUAACACAUGCAAGUCGAACGAAGAUGCCGGAGUGCUUGCACUUUGGCAGACUGAGUGGCGGAUGGGUGAGUAACGCGUGGGUAACCUGCCUUGUACAGGGGGAUAACAGUUGGAAACGGCUGCUAAUACCGCAUAAGCGCACGGCAUCGCAUGAUGCAGUGUGAAAAACUCCGGUGGUAUAAGAUGGACCCGCGUUGGAUUAGCUAGUUGGUGAGGUAACGGCCCACCAAGGCGACGAUCCAUAGCCGACCUGAGAGGGUGACCGGCCACAUUGGGACUGAGACACGGCCCAAACUCCUACGGGAGGCAGCAGUGGGGAAUAUUGCACAAUGGGCGAAAGCCUGAUGCAGCGACGCCGCGUGAGCGAAGAAGUAUUUCGGUAUGUAAAGCUCUAUCAGCAGGGAAGAUAAUGACGGUACCUGACUAAGAAGCACCGGCUAAAUACGUG
Molecule: ribosomal RNA, 476 nt
Filed under: uncultured bacterium
Lineage: Bacteria
Description: bacterial SSU rRNA
Rfam family: Bacterial small subunit ribosomal RNA
Source: RNAcentral